Xyrichtys novacula (pearly razorfish) is the source of this 366-nucleotide non-coding RNA. The record is from the annotation of a GenBank genome assembly. NCBI's taxonomy places the organism in Eukaryota, Metazoa, Chordata, Actinopteri, Labriformes, Labridae.
UGUCUGAGUAUUUCAGAAACUGCUGAUCUACUGGGAUUUUCACGCACAACCAUCUCUAGGGUUUACAGAGAAUGGUCCGAAAAAGAAAAAAUAUCCAGUGAGCGGCAGUUCUGUGGGCGGAAAUGCCUUGUUGAUGCCAGAGGUCAGAGGAGAAUGGCCAGACUGGUUCGAGCUGAUAAAAAGGCAACAGUGACUCAAAUAACCACCCGUUUCAACCAAGGUAGGCAGAAGAGCAUCUCUGAACGCACAGUACGUCGAACUUUGAGGCAGAUGGGCUACAGCAGCAGAAGACCACACCGGGUGCCACUCCUUUCAGCUAAGAACAGGAAACUGAGGCUACAAUUUGCACAAGCUCAUCGAAAUUGG